RNAcentral lists this long non-coding RNA (823 nucleotides) under Oryzias javanicus (javanese ricefish). RNAcentral describes it as "lncRNA (ENSOJAG00000007201.1)". Lineage: Eukaryota; Metazoa; Chordata; Actinopteri; Beloniformes; Adrianichthyidae. The record is from RNAcentral.
AUGUUUUUAAAUUUGUUGAUACAUUUUUUAUUAAUCAAACUGUACACGUCCUUGACUUUUCUCGACAGAGAAGUUUGAAUAAAAAGUAAAAUGUAUGUUCUUUGUCCCAGGGGGUAUUAGGAAAUAUCGGGCCGCCGGGAUUAACCGGACCCCCGGGGAGAGGCAUCCCCGGUGCCAAGGUAAGCCCUGAUAGUGGAGCUUGUGUUUGCGCUUCCUGGCUCUAACGGGUUUUCCUUUAGGGUGAUGCGGGUCUGCCGGGUCCUCCUGGACCCAUGGGAGAGCCGGGGAUCGGUUUGAUGGGACCCAAGGUGAUCUCAGUUCAAGUUUGCAGGAACUUCCUUUCAGAGUGAACAGAUUAAAGUAAAUCCAUUUCUGGUUGGUAGGGCGACAGAGGGCUGCCGGGGCCCGUCGGGCGUCCUGGACUGAAAGGUGAAGGCUUCUCCGGGCCUCCAGUGAGUACACAAAAACACAGAAUCCUCCUUCAUCCCAGCUUGACUACAUCACUUUAAAAGAGUAAAACUCGCCUCAGGGACUUCCUGGGCCCCCAGGCCUGCCUGGAGAGACCGGACAAGAUGGUUUCGGAUUACCUGGACAGAAAGGAGAUCGAGGAAAUCCUGGACCUUUGGGACCUGCCGGGCCUCCUGGGAUCGGGUUGAUUGGAUCAAAGGUAAUCAAAGAAAAAAAUCUUGUGCUUUUGUGUUGAACUGGCUGGAAAACAAAGUUGCAUAUCUUAAAUGUUCUUGUUCUGCAGGGUGCGAUGGGUCAGAUGGGACCUGCAGGUCCUCCAGGGUUACCGGGAGAGGGUAUCCAGGGGCAGAAGGUA